This 550-nucleotide ribosomal RNA is filed under the name uncultured archaeon. RNAcentral's name for it is "bacterial SSU rRNA". It matches the Rfam family "Archaeal small subunit ribosomal RNA", at positions 325 to 879 of the family's 1478-position model. The record is from RNAcentral.
ACGGGGUGCAGCAGGCGCGAAAACUUCACACUGGGGGCAACCCCGAUGAGGGAAAUCCUAGUGCUAGGACAUUUGUUCUAGCUUUUCUCAAGCGUAGAUAACUUGAGGAAUAAGGGCUGGGUAAGACGGGUGCCAGCCGCCGCGGUAAUACCUGCAGCCCAAGUGGUGGUCGAUUUUAUUGAGUCUAAAACGUUCGUAGCCGGUUUGGUAAAUCUUUGGGUAAAUCGGGAAGCUUAACUUUCCGACUUCCGAAGAGACUGUCAAACUUGGGACCGGGAGAGGCUAGAGGUACUUCUGGGGUAGGGGUAAAAUCCUGUAAUCCUAGAAGGACCGCCGGUGGCGAAGGCGUCUAGCUAGAACGGAUCCGACGGUGAGGGACGAAGCCCUGGGUCGCAAACGGGAUUAGAUACCCCGGUAGUCCAGGGUGUAAACGUUUGAAUACUAGGUGUCGGGGUACGAAGUACUUCGGUGCCGCAGCAAACGCAUUAAGUAUUCCACCUGGGGAGUACGUUCGCAAGAAUGAAACUCAAAGGAAUUGGCGGGGGAGCAC